AAGAGAAUGGCUCAAUUGGUAGAGCAGUGGUCUCCAAAGCCGAAGGUUAAGGGUUCGAGUCCCUUUUUUCUUG
RNAcentral lists this transfer RNA (73 nucleotides) under Triparma laevis. RNAcentral's name for it is "tRNA-Trp". It matches the Rfam family "tRNA". Rfam says of the family: Transfer RNA (tRNA) molecules are approximately 80 nucleotides in length. Their secondary structure includes four short double-helical elements and three loops (D, anti-codon, and T loops). The record is from RNAcentral. Lineage: Eukaryota; Bolidophyceae; Parmales; Triparmaceae.